This 366-nucleotide long non-coding RNA is filed under the name Danio rerio (zebrafish). RNAcentral describes it as "long non-coding RNA NONDRET014292". Lineage: Eukaryota; Metazoa; Chordata; Actinopteri; Cypriniformes; Danionidae. The record is from RNAcentral.
AGAUUCAGAUCUUGUGAAGGUAGACAGCACCGACAUAAUAAUUCGUGAACAUAGACGACUGGAAAACCAGGUCAGAUCGCGCGAACAACUACAAAGUGAAGAGGGUUACGUCGAGAUAUGUUUGCCGAGUCGAAGCAGGUUUGGAGUGCAAAAAAAUCUGGCAGCGAAAAUACUGCUUCUUGAUGUGUACAAAGAUUUAAUCGUGAAAAGAGAUGCUUUCAAGAAAGGAGAAAACAUCUGGAUGACCAGUAAAGGAACACAGCAAGAAAAUAAAAAAAACGUCUGAGGCUGUUAAGGUUGCAAGUACUAUUCAAAGUUCAACAACUUUUGCAAUGGGGGAACAACUUAAAAGAGACCUCAAGACGC